This 490-nucleotide ribosomal RNA is filed under the name uncultured bacterium. Its description in RNAcentral is "partial 16S ribosomal RNA". It matches the Rfam family "Bacterial small subunit ribosomal RNA", at positions 28 to 507 of the family's 1533-position model. The record is from RNAcentral.
GAUGAACGCUAGCGAUAGGCUUAACACAUGCAAGUCGAGGGGCAGCAUGGUCUUAGCUUGCUAAGACUGAUGGCGACCGGCGCACGGGUGCGUAACGCGUAUGCAACUUGCCUCACAGAGGGGGAUAACCCGUCGAAAGACGGACUAAUACCGCGUACACUCCAUCUUGGGCAUCCAAGGUAGAGGAAAUGAAAUUCGCUGUGAGAUAGGCAUGCGUCCCAUUAGCUAGUUGGUGAGGUAACGGCUCACCAAGGCGACGAUGGGUAGGGGAACUGAGAGGUUGAACCCCAACACUGGUACUGAGACACGGACCAGACUACUACGGGAGGCAGCAGUGAGGAAUAUUGGUCAAUGGGCGAGAGCCUGAACCAGCCAAGUCGCGUGAAGGAUGACUGUCUUAUGGAUUGUAAACUUCUUUUAUACGGGAAUAACAAGAGUCACGUGUGACUCCCUGCAUGUACCGUAUGAAUAAGCAUCGGCUAACUCCGUG